GGUCGGUUAGCUCAGUCGGCAGAGCGUCGUGCUAAUAACGCGAAUGUCAUGGGUUCGAGACCCAUAUCGACCA
This 73-nucleotide transfer RNA is filed under the name Anneissia japonica. RNAcentral's name for it is "tRNA-Ile". It matches the Rfam family "tRNA". Rfam says of the family: Transfer RNA (tRNA) molecules are approximately 80 nucleotides in length. Their secondary structure includes four short double-helical elements and three loops (D, anti-codon, and T loops). The record is from RNAcentral. Lineage: Eukaryota; Metazoa; Echinodermata; Crinoidea; Comatulida; Comatulidae.